Molecule: long non-coding RNA, 299 nt
Filed under: Lathyrus oleraceus (garden pea)
Lineage: Eukaryota; Viridiplantae; Streptophyta; Magnoliopsida; Fabales; Fabaceae
Description: Pisum sativum (pea) long non-coding RNA (PSAT_LNC026088)
Source: RNAcentral
UAAUUAAAUGGAUUUAAACUGCAUAAGGUGACGUCGUCUCACAUUAAUACUAGUACAUACUACAUUAACAAUUUUAUUUGUUUAUAUGUCGGUUUACUUCAUAUAGUAUGUCUAAAAAUGCGUGGUUGUUAAAACAAUAAUUAUAAUAUUAUUUUUAUUGAUAAAGUUAAUAUUUUCUCUGUUUUAAAUAAAUAAUUAGAUUUAAAAAAUGUAAUAAAUAAAAAGGAAAGAAUAAUAAUUUUAUCAAAUAAUUAUAAUUAAUUAUUGAUGUAAUCAAAUUAAAAUUAAUGCAAAGUGAA